Molecule: ribosomal RNA, 253 nt
Filed under: uncultured bacterium
Lineage: Bacteria
Description: partial 16S ribosomal RNA
Rfam family: Bacterial small subunit ribosomal RNA
Source: RNAcentral
UACGUAGGGUGCAAGCGUUGUCCGGAAUUAUUGGGCGUAAAGAGCUCGUAGGCGGCUCGUCACGUCGGCUGUGAAAACCCGGGGCUCAACCCCGGGCCUGCAGUCGAUACGGGCGAGCUAGAGUUCGGCAGGGGAGACUGGAAUUCCUGGUGUAGCGGUGAAAUGCGCAGAUAUCAGGAGGAACACCAAUGGCGAAGGCAGCUCGCUGGAACGGUACUGACGCUGAGGCGCGAAAGCGUGGGGAGCGAACAGG